Molecule: ribosomal RNA, 492 nt
Filed under: uncultured bacterium
Lineage: Bacteria
Description: partial 16S ribosomal RNA
Rfam family: Bacterial small subunit ribosomal RNA
Source: RNAcentral
AGUGAACGCUGGCGGUAGGCCUAACACAUGCAAGUCGAACGGCAGCACAGUAAGAGCUUGCUCUUACGGGUGGCGAGUGGCGGACGGGUGAGGAAUACAUCGGAAUCUACUUUUUCGUGGGGGAUAACGUAGGGAAACUUACGCUAAUACCGCAUACGACCUACGGGUGAAAGCAGGGGAUCUUCGGACCUUGCGCGAUUGAAUGAGCCGAUGUCGGAUUAGCUAGUUGGCGGGGUAAAGGCCCACCAAGGCGACGAUCCGUAGCUGGUCUGAGAGGAUGAUCGGCCGCACUGGAACUGAGACACGGUCCAGACUCCUACGGGAGGCAGCAGUGGGGAAUAUUGGACAAUGGGCGCAAGCCUGAUGCAGCCAUGCCGCGUGGGUGAAGAAGGCCUUCGGGUUGUAAAGCCCUUUUGUUGGGAAAGAAAAGCAGCAGGUUAAUACCCCGCUGUUCUGACGGUACCCAAAGAAUAAGCACCGGCUAACUUCGUG